GAAAUAUCUAAUUGCACAAUAUUGUGCAAUAGCAAGAAAUUUUCAAUUGAUUGGAGUUAUCUUUCUUUGUCCAGAAUAGUAGUUGAAUCAACUUAAAUCAUUGUUUUAUACAAUACACACUGUAUAUUCACUUUUACUACCAACUGAUAAAUUAAAACAAUCUACCAUUCAGUGAUAACAAGCACUUUUUGUUACAUUUUAAUAUUUUAUGAUGUAUUUAAAUGAGUAGUUAUUGUUGCAAACUCCAUUAGAAAUUUGAAUUGAGAUCAGUUUUGAAAAAAGGGAAAGGGGGAUGUGAAAAAAAAUGGUGGUUGGGGGGGGGUUGUUGUUACAUUUUUCUCAUUUCAGAUUUCAUAAAUAAAAAGAAAAUUUCUUCAAACAUUUUUUUGAGAGGAUUAAUAUUCAACAGCAUAGUGAUUGCUCAAAGACAAAAAAAUAUUUUAAGUUCAUUAGACCACAUUCAUUCUGUGUCCAAAACCUAUGCUGUGUCAACUAUUUAAUCACAAUCUAAAUUUAGAGCUGAAUCCAGCUUGAAUGUUGUGUCCAUACUUGCCCCAACCGUUCAGGGUUCAACCUCUGCGGUCGUAUAAAGCUGCGCCCUGCGGAGCAUCUGGUUAUGGGCUGUCAGGGGAUGGAAAAUUGGAUAAAAACGUACGGUUUUAUUGGAAGAAAAAUGCAGAUACGCUAUAGGAAGAAAUUUUUAUUUCUAUGUAUGUAAAUUGAUUACUUAUAGGCCCUAUUGUAGAUAUUCAAAAUAACGAAUUGAUUGUUAAAGUAAAGUUAAUUAUUAGAUAAAGUCAGGUAGGUGGUAAGUUAUUUUGCAGCUGCCUGGUUAUCUCGGUUGAAUUGUUUUACAUUCUGUCAUGUUAUGAUCUGUAACAGCUUUGCUCCCUAUUGUAGUCCGUACGAUACAGUUUUCAAAUAUCUACGUCGUUUCAGUCUGUGUUGAAUAUUUGUUUCAAUUGAAAUUCGGUUUUGUAAAUUUUUUAUACUUU
Molecule: long non-coding RNA, 995 nt
Filed under: Mytilus galloprovincialis (Mediterranean mussel)
Lineage: Eukaryota; Metazoa; Mollusca; Bivalvia; Mytilida; Mytilidae
Source: RNAcentral